This is a long non-coding RNA of Macrobrachium nipponense, 679 nucleotides long. RefSeq lists it as uncharacterized. The transcript has 3 exons. NCBI's taxonomy places the organism in Eukaryota, Metazoa, Arthropoda, Malacostraca, Decapoda, Palaemonidae. The record is from RefSeq and is a predicted model, not a curated record.
AUUCCAGAGCUGUGCCUUACAGAAACAGAAGCGAUAGCAUGAGUUGCAGAUUGACCCACGGUCUCCCAGACAUUUGCCAAGCAUAGUGUGCAAUGAUGCAGUUCUGAGUUUUUCUUCAGUCUUUUUUUUUGCUCAUCAGAACAGUAGCUAUAUGUUUGGACAUUUUCUUCUUGAUUUUAUAUUUCUUUCCUGUUCAUGGUGUAUUUAACGAGGUUAUAAGAGAGCAAGAGAGAGUGCUAGUGUGUGUGUGCGCGUGUGUGUGCGGGCAUUUGAGUGCAUACAUGUUGAAUAGAGAAAUGGGAGUGUGUUGCCUGUCUGGAAACACAAACAUAGCACAGUGUGGCAAAAAAAAGGCUCUAUUUUUAGUGAACAAUCACUAAACAGAAUAGACAUUUUAUUGGCGGAUUUCAACCAAGAAUUGUCAGCUGUGGAUUUUAGGCCCGAGCUGUUCUAGGAGUGGAUUUGGCGGCUUCCAUAUGGUAACUAUAUAACAGGAGGAGGAACGUAAACAGCGAGAGCAUUGGAAACGCAUCAUGGAAGAAAACAAGCGCAAGAUUGAAAGAGCUCAGAUGAAACUAGCAGAGCAACAACUCCAGAUGGUGGAAGAGCAGCGCAAGAUGGAUGAGGAACGGCAGAGGAUCAAAAGGGAACAGGAAAAGCGUACACGUGGAGGAGGAGC